AGACAGCCAGGAUGUUGGCUUAGAAGCAGCCAUCAUUUAAAGAAAGCGUAAUAGCUCACUGGUCGAGUCGGCCUGCGCGGAAGAUGUAACGGGGCUAAACUAUGCACCGAAGCUGCGGCAGCGACACUUAGGUGUUGUUGGGUAGGGGAGCGUUCUGUAAGCCUGUGAAGGUGACCUGUGAGGGUUGCUGGAGGUAUCAGAAGUGCGAAUGCUGACAUAAGUAACGAUAAAGCGGGUGAAAAACCCGCUCGCCGGAAGACCAAGGGUUCCUGUCCAACGUUAAUCGGGGCAGGGUGAGUCGACCCCUAAGGCGAGGCCGAAAGGCGUAGUCGAUGGGAAACAGGUUAAUAUUCCUGUACUCGGUGUUACUGCGAAGGGGGGACGGAGAAGGCUAGGCUAUCCGGGCGACGGUUGUCCCGGUUUAAGCGUGUAGGGGGUGUGACUUGGUAAAUCCGGUCGCAUACUAACCCUGAGGCGUGAUGACGAGUCACUACGGUGAUGAAGUAGUUGAUGCCAAGCUUCCAGGAAAAGCCUCUAAGCUCUAGGUAACAUUGAAUCGUACCCCAAACCGACACAGGUGGUCAGGUAGAGA
RNAcentral lists this ribosomal RNA (592 nucleotides) under Hafnia paralvei. Its description in RNAcentral is "partial 23S ribosomal RNA". It matches the Rfam family "Bacterial large subunit ribosomal RNA", at positions 1087 to 1677 of the family's 2925-position model. Lineage: Bacteria; Pseudomonadati; Pseudomonadota; Gammaproteobacteria; Enterobacterales; Hafniaceae. The record is from RNAcentral.